RNAcentral lists this ribosomal RNA (465 nucleotides) under Vreelandella stevensii. Its description in RNAcentral is "partial 16S ribosomal RNA". It matches the Rfam family "Bacterial small subunit ribosomal RNA", at positions 338 to 795 of the family's 1533-position model. The record is from RNAcentral. Lineage: Bacteria; Pseudomonadati; Pseudomonadota; Gammaproteobacteria; Oceanospirillales; Halomonadaceae.
CCUACGGGGUGCAGCAGUGGGGAAUAUUGGACAAUGGGCGAAAGCCUGAUCCAGCCAUGCCGCGUGUGUGAAGAAGGCCUUCGGGUUGUAAAGCACUUUCAGUGGGGAAGAAAGCCUUGGGGCUAAUACCCUCGAGGAAGGACAUCACCCACAGAAGAAGCACCGGCUAACUCCGUGCCAGCAGCCGCGGUAAUACGGAGGGUGCGAGCGUUAAUCGGAAUUACUGGGCGUAAAGCGCGCGUAGGCGGUCUGAUAAGCCGGUUGUGAAAGCCCCGGGCUCAACCUGGGAACGGCAUCCGGAACUGACAGGCUAGAGUGCAGGAGAGGAAGGUAGAAUUCCCGGUGUAGCGGUGAAAUGCGUAGAGAUCGGGAGGAAUACCAGUGGCGAAGGCGGCCUUCUGGACUGACACUGACGCUGAGGUGCGAAAGCGUGGGUAGCAAACAGGAUUAGAUACCCGGGUAGUC